This 468-nucleotide ribosomal RNA is filed under the name uncultured bacterium. Its description in RNAcentral is "partial 16S ribosomal RNA". It matches the Rfam family "Bacterial small subunit ribosomal RNA", at positions 28 to 507 of the family's 1533-position model. The record is from RNAcentral.
GACGAACGCUGGCGGCGUGCUUAACACAUGCAAGUCGAACGGAAAGGCCCUGCUUUUGUGGGGUGCUCGAGUGGCGAACGGGUGAGUAACACGUGAGUAACCUGCCCUUGACUUUGGGAUAACUUCAGGAAACUGGGGCUAAUACCGGAUAGGAGCUCCUGCUGCAUGGUGGGGGUUGGAAAGUUUCGGCGGUUGGGGAUGGACUCGCGGCUUAUCAGCUUGUUGGUGGGGUAGUGGCUUACCAAGGCUUUGACGGGUAGCCGGCCUGAGAGGGUGACCGGCCACAUUGGGACUGAGGUACGGCCCAGACUCCUACGGGAGGCAGCAGUGGGGAAUAUUGCACAAUGGGCGGAAGCCUGAUGCAGCAACGCCGCGUGCGGGAUGACGGCCUUCGUGUUGUAAACCGCUUUCGCCUGUGACGAAGCGUGAGUGACGGUAAUGGGUAAAGAAGCCCCGGCUAACUACGUG